UAGCUCAGUGGUAGAGCUCCCAUUCGUAGGGGGGAAGACCUGGGUUCGAUUCCCAG
This 56-nucleotide transfer RNA is filed under the name Toxocara canis (dog roundworm). The record is from Rfam by way of RNAcentral. Lineage: Eukaryota; Metazoa; Nematoda; Chromadorea; Rhabditida; Toxocaridae.